RNAcentral lists this transfer RNA (68 nucleotides) under Marmota monax (woodchuck). Its description in RNAcentral is "tRNA.Ala". The stretch from base 3 to 63 matches the Rfam family "tRNA", at positions 6 to 65 of the family's 71-position model. Rfam says of the family: Transfer RNA (tRNA) molecules are approximately 80 nucleotides in length. Their secondary structure includes four short double-helical elements and three loops (D, anti-codon, and T loops). Further hydrogen bonds mediate the characteristic L-shaped molecular structure. tRNAs have two regions of fundamental functional importance: the anti-codon, which is responsible for specific mRNA codon recognition, and the 3' end, to which the tRNAs corresponding amino acid is attached (by aminoacyl-tRNA synthetases). tRNAs cope with the degeneracy of the genetic code in two manners: having more than one tRNA (with a specific anti-codon) for a particular amino acid; and 'wobble' base-pairing, i.e. permitting non-standard base-pairing at the 3rd anti-codon position. The record is from RNAcentral. Lineage: Eukaryota; Metazoa; Chordata; Mammalia; Rodentia; Sciuridae.
GCUGUAGCUCAGUGGCAGAGCACUUGCCUAGCAUGUAUGAGGCACUGGGUUUGAUCCUCAGCACUGCA